AUACUUACCUGGCAGGGGAGAUACCAUGAUCACAAAGAUGGUUUUCCCAGGGUGAGGCUAAUCCAUUGCACUGUGGAUAUGCUGACCCCUGCGAUUUCCCCAAAUGUGGGAAACUCAACUGCAUAAUUUGUGGUAGUGGGGGACUGCAUUGGUGCUCCUCCCUG
This 164-nucleotide small nuclear RNA is filed under the name Castor canadensis (American beaver). RNAcentral's name for it is "U1 spliceosomal RNA (ENSCCNG00000011693.1)". It matches the Rfam family "U1 spliceosomal RNA". From Rfam's summary of the family: U1 is a small nuclear RNA (snRNA) component of the spliceosome (involved in pre-mRNA splicing). The record is from Rfam by way of RNAcentral. Lineage: Eukaryota; Metazoa; Chordata; Mammalia; Rodentia; Castoridae.